AAUUAAUAAGCUUUUAAAAGCAUUUGUUUUGAAAACUUAAGAAAGAAAAUAUAUUUCUAUUAAUUU
This 66-nucleotide transfer RNA is filed under the name Limnephilus decipiens. RNAcentral describes it as "tRNA-Ser". Lineage: Eukaryota; Metazoa; Arthropoda; Insecta; Trichoptera; Limnephilidae. The record is from RNAcentral.